AAGCUUGUAGAAAAUACAAAGGUAGGCUAUAGAAAAUAGACAUAAAGAUUACAAAUAACGAUUAAAUAAAAAUGUAUUAAAAUAAAAGAGAACAGCUCCAAAUGAAAGGUGGAUGAGUUAAUAAUAUGAUUUUGAGUCAAUAAUAUGCUCAAAUUUGAAAGGGAUACAGAUGAGUGCUUUGUAGAAGUAACACUUGUGAAAAUGCGGCAAGCAUAUUUAAAAACUAGAUCGCUCUUCUCAACAGCUAAUGGCAGUCUACUGUAGUGUCCUGCUGUCCUGCACUAGAGGUCAGUGAGCACUAGAUUGAGUAGCAGCGCUGGUGCUCACAGCUCUCGCCGGGUGCAGUGGCGCGCGCCUGUAAUCCAAGCUGCUGGGAGGCUGAGGCUGGCGGAUCACUUGAGUUCAGGGGUUCUGGGCUGCAGUGGACUAUGUUGAUCGGGUGUCCGCGCUAAGUUCGGUAUCGAUAUGGUGCUCCUGGGGGAGCUCGGGACCGCCAGGUCGUCUAAGGAGGGGUGAACCGGCCCAGGUCGGAGACGGAGCAGGUCAAAGCCCCCGUGCCGAUCAGUAGCGGGAUCGCGCCUGUGAAUAGACACUGCAGUGUCUAUUCACAGGCGCGACCCCACUACUGAUCGGCACGGGGGCUUUGACCUGCUCCGUCUCCGACCUGGGCCGGUUCACCCCUCCUUAGACGACCUGGUGGUCCCGAGCUCCCCCAGGAGCACCAUAUCGAUACCGAACUUAGCGCGGACACCCGAUCGACAUAGUCCACUGCAGCCCAGAACCCCUGAACUCAAGCGAUCCGCCAGCCUCAGCCUCCCAGCAGCUUGGAUUACAGGCGCGCGCCACUGCACCCGGCGAGAGCUGCGAGCACCAGCGCUGCUCCUCAAUCUAGUGCUCACUGCGCCCUCUAGUGCAGCACAGCAGAAAAAGUAUCUCUGUCUCUCUCAAAUAUAAAUGUAGAAUCGAGAAGCUUUAUUAGUAAGGAAACUUUAAAAAAUAGUUGUUUUACUCCUCAGAAUACAAUACAAAUACAAAAUUUAGUUUAGAGAUUUAAUGCACCCUUUAUAACAAAAUUGCGGUAGGUCUUCUAUUGUGUCUGGAAAGGGGAGAGAUCCUGAAACUACUCAGAGAAACUGUCAGGCUGUUUCCCUGGACUCACCUGCUUCAUGGCUGAAGAAUGAGACUUUGGACUUUGGGUCAGUCUUAUUCUAUUGUGGUUUGAUUUUCAGUUUUCUGAAUGAUGAGACAGUUGGGGUAACAAGAAAAUAUCUGCAUAAAGAUAUUGAGUCAAUUUUAAUGUUUGAAGACAAAAUGGGUGCAUUUCUUGAAACUUUAUACAGGUUCCACCUGUUUUAAUAUUUAAAAUAUACUGUAUAGUAAUGUUACACUUUUU
This is a long non-coding RNA of Cyprinus carpio (common carp), 1393 nucleotides long. NCBI's taxonomy places the organism in Eukaryota, Metazoa, Chordata, Actinopteri, Cypriniformes, Cyprinidae. The record is from Ensembl.